UACAGAGGAUGCAAGCGUUAUCCGGAAUGAUUGGGCGUAAAGCGUCUGUAGGUGGCUUUUUAAGUCCGCCGUCAAAUCCCAGGGCUCAACUCUGGACAGGCGGUGGAAACUACCAAGCUGGAGUACGGUAGGGGCAGAGGGAAUUUCCGGUGGAGCGGUGAAAUGCGUAGAGAUCGGGAGGAACAUCUGUGGCGAAGGCGGCCACCUGGACCAACACUGACACUGAGGCACGAAAGCGUGGGGAGCAAACAGG
RNAcentral lists this ribosomal RNA (253 nucleotides) under uncultured bacterium. RNAcentral describes it as "partial 16S ribosomal RNA". It matches the Rfam family "Bacterial small subunit ribosomal RNA", at positions 524 to 776 of the family's 1533-position model. The record is from RNAcentral.